UGCUCGCGGUCAGCUGCGGCACCAAUGGCGAUUCUGAAACGGGAAUAAACUCUUUUCACGCACGCUCAGCUGAGCUGUAAUAAACUGCUCGCUGCUGGAAAAACCUGUGGAUAUCAGACAGGAGGGAACAGCCCUGAAAGCAUGAGCUGGGGAACAGAACUGUGGGAUCAGUUUGACAGUUUGGAGAAGCACACUCUGUGGGGUAUCGAGUUCCUUGAGAGGUAUACAAAAUUUGUCAAAGAGAGAUGUGAAAUUGAAGUCAGCUAUGCAAAGCAAAUCAGGAAUCUUUCAAAGAAAUAUCAGCCUAAGAAGACCACGAGAGAGGAGGAGGAAAGCAAGUACACAUCAUGUCGUGCUUUCCUGAUGACGCUGAACGAGCUAAAUGACUAUGCUGGGCAGCAUGAAGUUAUCGCCGAGAAUCUCACCGCCCAGAUCGUCUCAGAGCUCACCCACUAUGUUCAGGAGCUGAAGGCUGAGAGGAAGUUGCAUUUCCACGAUGGACGAAAAGCCCAGCAACACAUUGAGAACUCCUGGAAACAGCUGGAAUCGAGUAAGCGCAGGUUUGAGAGGGACUGCAAAGAGGCUGACAGAGCACAGCAGUACUUUGAGAAGAUGGAUGCUGACAUCAAUGUGACAAAAGCCGAUGUGGAGAAGGCGAGGCAGCAGGCCCAGAUGAGGAACCAGAUGGCAGAGCACAGUAAGAGCGAGUACUCCUCCAGCCUGCAGAGUUUCAACCAGGAGCAGACCCAGCACUACCACACUCUCAUACCCCACAUCUUCCAGAGGAUCCAGGAGAUGGAGGAGUGCAGGAUUGGGCGGGUGGCGGACUGUAUGCGUGCGUUUGCAGAGGUGGAGCGGCGCGUCCUGCCCAUCCUCGCAAAGUGUCUGGACGGGAUGACCAAGGCAGCUGACAGCAUCCAGCCCAAAAACGACUCCAAGCAGGUGGUGGAAUCCUACAAGUCUGGGUUCGAACCCCCCGGGGACGUGGAGUUUGAAGACUAUGAACAGGCGAUGAGGAGGGUGGCAUCCGAGUCCAGCCUGCCUCACUCCCGCGGGGAGAAGGCCAGCAGCAGGAACAAGGGCAAGCUGUGGCCUUUCAUCAAGAGGAACAGGCUCAUGUCCUUGUUAACAUCCCCCCGCCAGCCCCCCCCUCCCCCUCCUGCCUCACCAGCACCCUCUGCUGUUCCUAACGGGCCCCACUCCCCCAGACAGCACAGGGACCCCCUUUCACAUCGCCUCAACGAUCUCAUGGGCUCCAAACCCAGAAUGCAUUGCUUCCGGAGCCUGAAGCGCGGGCUGUCUCUGAAGCUGGGUUCUGGCCCGGAGGACUUCAGCCACCUGCCUCCAGAGCAGCGGAGGAAGAAGCUGCAGGCGCGGCUGGAGGACAUCGGCCGGGACAUCCAGAAAGAGCUGGACCAAAAGGACGCUCUGACGAAGAUGCGAGAUGUUUACACAAAGAACCCUCAGAUGGGCGACUCCAGCAGCAUCGACCCGCGAUUGGCUGAGAUCUGCCAGAACAUCGAGAGGCUGCGGCUCGAGGCGCAGAAGUUUGAGGGCUGGCUGGCAGAGGUGGAGGGCAGGAUGCAGAAGACCGAUACCCCUAGAAGACAGAGCGGAACGUAUGAGACUCAGAAUAACACACCUGUGAACAGCACCUGCACACAGGACCGAGAGAGCCCUGAUGGCAGCUACACAGAGGACCAGAGUUCAGAGACCCAGCUCAAAGCUCCAAACUCAGAGCUAGAGGACGAGUUUGAAGACGAGGAGCCGCUGCCCACGAUUGGAACCUGCAAAUCGCUGUACCCCUUCGAAGGUCACAGUGAGGGUACGAUGUCAGUGGCGGAGGGGGAGAUUCUGCAUGUGAUUGAGGAGGAUAAGGGUGAUGGCUGGACUCGGGUGCGCAGGAAUGAUGAGGAGGAGGGCUACGUUCCCACGUCCUACAUCGAGAUCUUUCUAGACACCAACGGCAAAGGUGCUGUCACAUAUAUAUAACUGCACUGCAGGACACAGGGCCACCGCGCUUGCUGCAGGGGAUUGUGGGAUUGGUGGGGAGGUUAAGGGCGCGUACCACAGCUUGUGACUUCGACUGCAUCUCCCCCUUUUAGCCGACAGAAGGAGGGUGUCUAACCUUCACACCACCAUACACAUCUUAAAACACCUUUUCACAUCAGUAUGCACCUGUUGACAUCUUAAAAUACCUGUGCACACCUUUCCUGGUCCAGGGACACACCGGUCUGCACGGGUGUGAUCGCUGCGUAGCUCACUGUGGGUCACUGUUCCCGUCGCUCUGACAGGGACAGUUCUGCUGUCCCCAGCCUCCAGGCCACACGCGUGUCCCAGAGCACUGCAUGCUGAAUGCUUUACUGUCACGAACAGUGUCAGUAUUACACCAGUACAUAAUACCUACUUUCAUUUUUCCAUUUCAGCAUGUUAGCUGUAAUUCAGUUCCAAAAUGGACCAAAAUGAACUCAGUCAACCCCAGGAGUGUUUAAGGCUAAAUUUCCCUGUGGGCGAGAGCAGUGAGAGCUCUAUUCCUAAAAGUGUGGGGCUGGUGCAGGAAGGGGAGGGGUGACAGAUGGCCUCCUGUUAGAGCGUUAGGCAGAGAGGGCAGAGAUGGAGCCUCCCUGUCUGCACUCGCAUCUGCAUCAACUUACACGCAAACUUAUUCAGCAACCAUCACGUUAGCUCAUUUUUCCUCAAAAAGCUUUCUGAAAAGCUUUUCUGCUUGCCCAUACUGCACUGACAGAUCACUGACUGCUAACCAACCGCUCACUGACCGCUCAUCGACUGCUGACUGACCACACUCUGACCACUCACUGACUGCUCACUGACCGCUCUGGCACUGACCCCGGCGCAGCCCCCUGUGGUCAGAGGCGGGACCGGAGCAGGGAUCAGAGUGCAGCGUGGUGUCAGAGCAGCUUCAUGCCACAGGCUUCUCUGUGCUGUGAGUCUCACAGGAAGGACGUCUCUCUUGCUUCCUGUUGGAGCAGGUCACAUGACCACUCCCUUGCCUCUGACUCCAUCCACCUGUAGCUGUGACAGUCUUUUCUCUGCCCAUGCCCUAGGCUGUAGCUAUAGUGAUGUGUGUCUGACCAAACCUCCCCUCCCCUGACACUGCUUCAGCCAAUCACAGAAGGUUCUGAUGGGCGUGGCCUGCCAUUUCAGUUCAGCUGCUGCCUUCUUAUCUGGCUUGUUUGCUGCCUGUGGUUUGAUUUGAAGUCCUUUAGUUUCAUUUUGAUUGUGUCUCUUGCAUGCCCUUGCAUGUGUUACUGUGUGACCUGGAGUUUCCACACUCACAUCACAGCAGUUCUCAUUGCAUUAUUUCCUGAUAUUAAAUAUGCAAAUAUGAGAAUGUGCUUUGCA
Molecule: RNA transcript, 3363 nt
Organism: Megalops cyprinoides (Indo-Pacific tarpon)
Lineage: Eukaryota; Metazoa; Chordata; Actinopteri; Elopiformes; Megalopidae
Gene name: formin-binding protein 1-like
Exons: 17
Source: RefSeq, a predicted model, not a curated record